UUGAACGCUGGCGGCAUGCCUAACACAUGCAAGUCGCACGCGAAAGGGGGCAACCCCGAGUAGAGUGGCGGACGGGUGAGUAAUACAUCGGAAUCUACCCAGUAGCGGGGGACAACCCGGCGAAAGCCGGGCUAAUACCGCAUACGACCUACGGGUGAAAGCAGGGGACCGCAAGGCCUUGCACUAUUGGAUGAGCCGAUGUCCGAUUAGCUAGUUGGCGGGGUAAAGGCCCACCAAGGCGACGAUCGGUAGCUGGUUUGAGAGAACGACCAGCCACACUGGGACUGAGACACGGCCCAGACUCCUACGGGAGGCAGCAGUGGGGAAUAUUGGACAAUGGGGGCAACCCUGAUCCAGCGAUGCCGCGUGUGUGAAGAAGGCCUUCGGGUUGUAAAGCACUUUCGGUGGGGACGAACAAGGUCGGGCGAAUACCUCGGCCCUUGACGGUACCCAAAGAAGAAGCACCGGCUAACUCUGU
RNAcentral lists this ribosomal RNA (478 nucleotides) under uncultured bacterium. RNAcentral describes it as "bacterial SSU rRNA". It matches the Rfam family "Bacterial small subunit ribosomal RNA", at positions 29 to 506 of the family's 1533-position model. The record is from RNAcentral.